UCCCCAACAAAACCAAAUCCAGAUCACCAAAAAAUGACCAAAACAUAAGCUCAAUAACCACGGACGUAACAAACAGAUUGACUAAACUUUUACCACCAUUACAAUACUCCUUCGUCUUGUAAUUUUCACACUCAACUCUCACCAAAUCUCACUUACACAAACACAAUACAAACACAACCAUUUUUAUAUUAGUACCAAUUUUCACACACACACACACACUAGCAUCAAUCUCACUUCCUUAUCAUACCCUUGUCUUGUUGAAAACCCAGAUCUUAGAUCCCUCAAUUAUGUUGUCAUAAACUCUUAUGUUGUCAAAAAAUCCUAUGUUGUCAUAAAAAACAUUCACAAUGUUUUCAACUUCAACUCCAUUAAUCCCAACUAUAGCCCUUUUAAUCUCCUUGAUAAUCAUUCUCCUUUUUGCCCCUUCUUUCCUCCCAAUCACCCACCGCAAAUCCCCACCAAUCCCACUCGCCGAUGAACUCGAUGACCUGUCUCUGUUCACACGCGCCACCCGACGCGCCGCCGCGAAGUCCCGCCUCGGCACCACCAAUCAGAACCCCAAGAUUGCUUUUUUAUUCUUGACAAACACUGACCUCUAUUUCUCACCCUUGUGGCAACUCUUCUUCAACAACCACUCUGAUUUGUAUAAUAUAUACAUUCACGCUGACCCAACUGUGCAAAUUGCGCCGCCGAGUGGUGUUUUUGAGGGCCGUGUUAUUGGGAAUUUGCAUAGGACUUAUCGGGGAACUGCCACCCUUAUUUCGGCUGCUCGUCGACUGCUUGCCACUGCGAUUCUUGAUGAUUCCAGUAACUUUUACUUUGCUCUCAUUUCGCAACAAUGCAUACCUUUACAUUCUUUUAAGUAUGUGUAUAAUGCGUUGUUUGGUACUGAUUCGGGAUCCAUUGUUUUAGAUAAGAUUAGUUUUAUUGAAAUUAAGUCGAAUGAGUCCAUAUUAUGGGAUAGGUAUAACGCUAGAGGUAAACGUGUGAUGGUUCCGGAAGUACCCUUUGAAAAGUUUCGAGUGGGGUCUCAAUUUUUUAUACUGACUAGGAGGCACUCGUUGAUGGUGCUUAGGGAUCAGAGGUUGUGGAAGAAAUUUAAGAUUCCGUGUAUAAAUGUACAUUCUUGUUAUCCUGAAGAGCAUUAUUUUCCUACACUGCUGUCGAUGUUGGAUCCCAAGGGCUGUUCGUCUUAUACAUUGACGAGGGUCAACUGGACGGGUAGUGUUAAUGGUCACCCGCAUACUUAUUACCCGAGUGAAGUGUCGGCACAACUGAUCUAUACUUUGAGGGAGUCAAAUUCUUCUCAUUCGUAUCUGUUUGCCCGCAAAUUCUCACCAGAUUGUUUGAAGCCAUUGUUGGAUUUAUCGGAGGAAGUCAUAUUCAAAGAUUGAAUUUUAAUGUUGGUAAGUGCGUUUUGAUAUUAUUCCUUCACUGCUUUGUAAGUGAGAUUUGAUCUGAUAUAAUUUUUUCACGAGUUAAAUUGGAUUGAUGGUAAUUUUGGUGGUGUAAACUGCACAGUAAAGUUAUGAAUUUCACAUUGGGAAUUUUAUUCGUUUUAAAAUACCUAUUUAUAUUUGAUUUAGAAUAUUUAAGUCAUUUUAUAAGUUCUAAUAAAGUUAAUAACAAAUGUAGUUUGUAGGAAAGUAUUUCUUGUACUUUUUAGAAGUUAAAAUAAAGUUAAUAACAGAAGUACUUUGUAAGGAUUGGUCUUGAGACUUUUGGUAACUUAGAUAUAAUAUGGGAAUAAGGAGACAUGAUACUUUUUGUAGUUAAAAUGUGUAAAUAAUGCAAGAUCAAGAUCAGGAUAAAAUAUAAAGGUCUUCUAUUGCCUAUAUUUUACCAUGUUGAUCCAUCCGAUGUUCGCGAAAAAUCUGGUUGUAUAUCUGAAGCAAUAGAUCACCAUGAUGAGAAAUUCAAGAGUGAGGUGGAUGAGACAAAAAAGAAGACUUUGAUGGACAAAAUAAAGUGAUGGAGGACUGCUCUUGCUCAGCUUUCGAAUCUGGGAGGCAUGCUUUUGCAAAACGUGGCCAAUGGGUCACUUGAUAAUGCUUCUCUGCGUGGAGGAGUGCAUUAGAAAAAUUGGAAAUCAUUCCUCACUGUGAAUCCAGAAGAUUUUGCGAAUAAGUUACGAACAACUCUUUGCAAGAUGACCAUGAUAGAGAUCUAUUUCUGUAAAUUGCGUGUUUCUUUAGUGGAGAGGCCGAGUAUUUUGUGGUCGGGAAUCGGGAUACUAGAUGAAUGUGAUGAUAGAGAUCUAUUUCUGGAGAUUGCGUGUUUCUUUGGUGGAGAGGCCAAGUAUUUUGUGGUUGGGAUACUAGAUGAAUGUGAUUAUUACACAUCAAUUGGAAUUGAAAAUCUUAUAGAUAGAUUUUUGUUGAUGACUAUUAAAUUUGAGAAUCUUAAAAUGCAUCAGACCAUUCAGGGCAUGGGUAGAGAAAUUAUACGUCGGCAAUCACCUAAAGAUCCAGGGAAAAGGAGUAAAACUUUGGCAUUGUAAACACUCCCUUAAAGUAUUAAAAGACGAAACAGUAAGAAAAACACCAAGGCACUGGAGCAAUUGUAACAAUAACAUUUCUAUUCUGUCAAUUCUAUUUUCUUCUUAUUGUAACAAUUACAUUUUUUGUCAGUUUUUUCUGUCAGUUUAAUUACAGUGGUUUCUGCUUA
This is an RNA transcript of Daucus carota subsp. sativus, 2667 nucleotides long. It is a transcript of the gene named glycosyltransferase BC10, with no coding region annotated. Lineage: Eukaryota; Viridiplantae; Streptophyta; Magnoliopsida; Apiales; Apiaceae. The transcript is spliced from 2 exons. The record is from RefSeq and is a predicted model, not a curated record.